GAAAGAUGUGCUUGCUUCCCCUUCUGCUAUGAUCAUAAGUUUCUUGAGGCCUCCCCAGCCCUGCAGAACAUCUCACUCUGUUGCCCAGCCUGGAUUGCAGUGACAUGAUCACAGCUCACUACAACCUCAACCUCCCUGGGAUCAAGCUAUCCUCCCAUCUUAGCUUCCCAAGUCAUUGGGACUACAGGGAAUGUGCCGCUGUGCCCAGCCAAACUGGAUCUUCAGUAUGUUUAUGUAACUUUCCGGGAGCAGAGGUAGGGUGUUACAGAAAGGGCAUCUACUUUAGUACAAGCAGAGAGGCAAUACUUGUUUAAGAAAUAGGAGAAACAAAAUCUUAAUAAACAUGGAUGCUUUUGUUGAGAAGAAAUAAAAAACAAAGUUUUCCAGCUGAGGCUUGAUUAGAGAGAGAAAGAAAGCUUUCACAAAGCCAGGAA
Molecule: long non-coding RNA, 434 nt
Filed under: Homo sapiens (human)
Lineage: Eukaryota; Metazoa; Chordata; Mammalia; Primates; Hominidae
Description: PREDICTED lncRNA (TCONS_00191322)
Source: RNAcentral